RNAcentral lists this ribosomal RNA (238 nucleotides) under uncultured bacterium. RNAcentral describes it as "partial 16S ribosomal RNA". It matches the Rfam family "Bacterial small subunit ribosomal RNA", at positions 96 to 334 of the family's 1533-position model. The record is from RNAcentral.
CGGCGGACGGGUGAGUAACGCGUGGGUAACCUGCCUCAUACAGGGGGAUAACAGUUGGAAACGGCUGCUAAUACCGCAUAAGCGCACAGUACCGCAUGGUACCGUGUGAAAAACUCCGGUGGUAUGAGAUGGACCCGCGUCUGAUUAGCUAGUUGGUGGGGUAACGGCCUACCAAGGCGACGAUCAGUAGCCGACCCGAGAGGGUGACCGGCCACAUUGGGACUGAGACACGGCCCAA